Small RNA from Sordaria macrospora k-hell, 73 nucleotides. It matches the Rfam family "bZIP non canonical Hac1/Xbp1 intron". From Rfam's summary of the family: bZIP intron RNA is a non-canonical intron that was first reported in HAC1 gene in yeast and XBP1 gene in Metazoa. The record is from Rfam. NCBI's taxonomy places the organism in Eukaryota, Fungi, Ascomycota, Sordariomycetes, Sordariales, Sordariaceae.
CACUUCCCCCGAUGCGACACAACAUCCUGCUGCGGUGUUGUGUGGUGACCUGCAGUGUCGGUCGGCGGAAGUG